UUUUUCCGAUAAAGGAAGCUUUUAUUGAACUCGCAUCAUUACAUCAAGAUGAUACAAUCAUGCUGAGAUCACUCCGGCCUCUGCAUAACUAGGAUGCACAUAGCCCACACACACAAACAAGAGUUUUAUAUCAAGUGGAAUAACAGAAAAAUGAUAUGGAUCGUCAAUCCUUGGACUAGACCGCCACCCAUGCUUCUGGGUAAAACAUUCCCUGACCACCCGCUCCAAAUGUUGACACGCCGCUGCAACCAACUCCUGAGAACCCGACUUCAUAAUAGUCCAGGUACGGAGCCAGU
This 296-nucleotide long non-coding RNA is filed under the name Hordeum vulgare. RNAcentral describes it as "long non-coding RNA (HVUL_LNC001549)". The record is from RNAcentral. Lineage: Eukaryota; Viridiplantae; Streptophyta; Magnoliopsida; Poales; Poaceae.